AUUGAACGCUGGCGGCAGGCCUAACACAUGCCAGUCGAACGGUAACAGGAAACGACUUGCCGUUUCGCGGUGGCGUGGCGGGGGUGGGUGUGAUGUCUGUGAGACUGCCUGAUGGCGGGGGAGAACUAGUGGAGACGGUAGCGAUAACCGCAUAUCGUCGCAACAGCAAAGAGCAGGAGACCCGGGCCCCUUGCCAGCGGGUAUGACCAGAUGGCAUUAGCUAGUUGGUGGGGUAAAGGCCCACCAAGGCGACGAUCCGUAGCUGGUCUGAGAGGAUGAUCAGCCACACUGGAACUGAGACACGGUCCAGACUCCUACGGGAGGCAGCAGUGGGGAAUAUUGCACAAUGGGCGCAAGCCUGAUCCAGCCAUGCCGCGUGGGUGAAGAAGGCCUUCGGGUUGUAAAGCCCUUUUAUUGGGGAAGAAAAGCAGCAGGUUAAUACCCCGCUGUACUGACGGUACCCAAAGAAUAAGCACCGGCUAACUUCGUG
Molecule: ribosomal RNA, 490 nt
Filed under: uncultured bacterium
Lineage: Bacteria
Description: partial 16S ribosomal RNA
Rfam family: Bacterial small subunit ribosomal RNA
Source: RNAcentral